Molecule: long non-coding RNA, 3222 nt
Filed under: Brassica napus (rape)
Lineage: Eukaryota; Viridiplantae; Streptophyta; Magnoliopsida; Brassicales; Brassicaceae
Description: long non-coding RNA (BNAP_LNC016751)
Source: RNAcentral
GGAUCUGACAAAUCAAGACUCUCGCUAUCAUAAUCUGCGAGAACCCAUGGAAAUACCGGAUACUGCGUGAGAUCACUGUAUCCACGUCCUGCUAGGGUAUUGAGAUGCAUUAGGUAAUGGAAAUUGCUGAUUUCCCCAUUUUGCCAUCUUUUCGAGAAUGACUUUGCCAUUAAUCUGAAAAGGCGGCUUCCCUCGUUACUUUCCUGUUUUGCUGAUCCUGAAAUAGUUGUGUCGAGCCUGGGAAAAAAAUAACAGAAUAAAUAACAGUUUUGCAGAUCAAUGAAGACAGAAUCUAGUCUUUGAGAAGUAAGCUUAAAAAAGAACACCCAUCCCAUGCAACUCAUUGUCGUUGACUGAUAAACUUAUUCAUUAACCUAGUGAACAUUGAACUGCUAUAAAAUAUUUAAAAGAAACAACUGCAGUAUGCUCAACCCAGUGCGAGGAACAAACAGAAACGAGAUGAAAAUAACGAUAAUACCGUACAUGCUGUUCCUUGAAAGGUUCAUGGCAACCAGAUUUUUGAAAACUUCUUCCCUCUCUUUCUUGUGGAACACGAGGAGAUCAUUACAUCCAUCCAUGCUAAAUAUCUCAAUGGCAACCGGACGCAGCUGGUAAUCACGUUUUAAUAUUUCAUGAACAUUAUUAAGCUUCCACAUACGCCAAGGAUGCGGCAAGUUACCAGUCGUGCCCAUUUUUUCUUUUCCCCAAGCACCCCCACCAUAUGCCCAUGCUCUUCCGCCUACUGCUCUUCCCCCUAGAGCUCCCGUUUUCACUGCUGUCGUCCAAGAUGUGCUAGACUUGGACUGGAAAUCCAGGCUGCCGGAGGCAUCUUUUUUCACACCCAACGCUUGAUCAAUAACAGAUAACUCAUCUUCGCAUUCCUUCUCACAAAUACACCCAUCAUCGUCAAUAUAAAAGUUUUCUAUCACAUACAGACAGAACUCCCCUAUUAAGAAGAUUCCAUCAUGCUUGUCGAGAUCAACAACUCUCUCGCAGUUGUAUCUGAACCUAAUCUUUUCAAGAUGCUCCAGAUAAGGCCUGAUCAGAUACUCACCAUCAUCAUUCAGUUCCUUCUCUGAUUUUUCCUCCUCGCCUUUAGUUUCAUCCAUUUUAGCAGAAGAUGAAUGUCUUGGAGAGCCAGCCUCAGAUUUUGCAAGUGUGUUGUCUGUUAUUGGCACAGAUGCUGUACUAGAUUUGCCACCAAAGUCAAGAGCAGAAUGAAGACUUGCUUCGUUUGUACUACUAGCUCUAUCAUCAUUCCAUCCAUUUCUGGCAGAAGCGACAUCUUUAAAAUCAUCUGACUCUUUCACAAACGCCUCAUCAUAAAGUUCACUGAGCAGGAAAGCUGGUUCGGAAUCUGUGUCUGAAAUAACUGGCCCAUCUUCAUUUUUCACUUUGGUUCCCCGGUAAGGUCAUUUAUGUAGAUUGCUGAAAUGGGAACUGGGAAGUCAGGAAGCUGCCUCACAAAACUCAUCGAACUGAGAUCCCAUAUUAUAACUGUGCAAUCAUCUGACCCACUUGCGAUCAUCAUGUACGGUUGACUUACACGUAGACAUGUGACUGUAGCUGUGUGAGCACACAGGGCUUUUUCUAACCGUAAACGUCGUGAACUACGCGGGCCAUCCUUGCUUACUCUCCACACGCACACUAAACCAUCUUCUGCUCCAGUGACCACAAUGCGUCCAUCGUGACUAAAACCAGCACACUGGAUCUGGUUGCUUUCAUGGAGAUUUUCGUGAGUUGAUAGCAGUUUGUCCUGAUCAUAACUCAUAAAUCUCAAACUCCUGUCUGGGAACCCCCAUGUUAUGUAUUUGGUAUAGCCUCUGGGUUUCAGGAAGCAGUUAGCCCCGGCAACGAGCACCUUGUCGUGGAAAGUAGUGAUUUGGCUUAUAGAAGAUGGACAUUUACGUGUCUCGUGAGGAAUUAGAUGCAUCGAAUGUUUCAGAGGGUGGAGAGGAACUUUUCGGUCUGUUCUUCUUUUGACAUGAGCUUUCUGGAAUAGCUGCUUCGGAGUUUGUCCAAAAUGAUUAAUCUGCGCUAGUAUGGAAGCUUUCAAUGCGGGGUCGCUAACUGCAUCAAUAUCAACAUUUCCCUCGUACGUGUAAUGAUAGAAAACAUUUACAGCUUCUUCUGCAGCCUGAGAAUAAACAACAUUCCAAUAACGAAAAGUAAAUAACAUGGCAACACUUUUAGUUUCUGCAUUUUACUUGGCUAGAGGCAAAAUGAAAAGUGUACCUUUCCUCUCUGUUUGUACCCAAAGAUGAGAUCUAUCCAGUGAUGCAGAUUUUCUGAGACAUAAUCUGACUCCAACGCUUCUCUGUGCUUGAGGAUGAACUCACGUACACUACCUCUCGCCCACGGAGGUAAAAAGACAUCACCAACCUAAAAUUACGCAGAAGAAAUAAUAUAUAUCAACACUACAUGAAAGGAAAAUGGUACAUUCAAGCACCAUUGAAAGAACUGGAACCGGCACAAACCUUCUCUCCCGACUGUUUUUCACCCAAAUCAAGACUGAAUCUAUUUUCCAAAAACUCUGGCAUGUAGAAGAAUUCAGGAAUGAGUUCUUUUACGUCUGAUGUAUUUCCCUUUCCAGCUGCACUUAGCCAAGUAUCUUUUAUACUAUUGAAGAGUCUAUCAGCAUGAUCAAACUGACCGCCCUGCAGCUUCUGAUUUUCAGCACUGAACGGUGGGAGGCGAAGAAGGUAAAACAGAACAAUUCCAGCACUUGAAUAGUGAGAACCGUAAUGAAAUUUUGGAAUCUCAGGAUCAUCCCAGCUCUCAUAUCUGAAAACAGAGAAAGUAAAGAAUUAUGCCGCAUGAAACCAUAACUACUUAACAAGAAAAAUUAAGAUGUAUGACAAAGAACACAAGGGGAAGGUGCACUAUAAAAAAGUUUAAGAUGCACAGCACAAACCGUUUCCUAAAUUCUUCUUCUCCUUCAGGUGUCUGGCAACCCAUUGGCUUGUGAAGUUUGCGGAAAGUUUUUGGAUCUGACAAAUCAAGACUCUCGCUAUCAUAAUCUGCGAGAACCCAUGGAAAUACCGGAUACUGCGUGAGAUCACUGUAUCCACGUCCUGCUAGGGUAUUGAGAUGCAUUAGGUAAUGGAAAUUGCUGAUUUCCCCAUUUUGCCAUCUUUUCGAGAAUGACUUUGCCAUUAAUCUGAAAAGGCGGCUUCCCUCGUUACUUUCCUGUUUUGCUGAUCCUGAAAUAGUUGUGUCGAG